CUGACUCUGGGGGUUGGUGCUCCUCUCCAUUUCUAAGCCGAAGAGCCGGCACUGUUCAUAGACACCUCCAAGGUCAUGUGGCCAGCAUGUCUGCAUGGAGCAGCAUUACCUUCCCAUCGAAGGGUACCUAUUGAUCUACUCACAUUUGCAUGUUUUCGAACUGCUAGAUUAGCAGAAGUUGGGGCUAAUGGCGGGAGUUCAUCCCGCUCCCCGGAUUUCAACGUGGUAACCUUUCGGUCAAAAAGUUCCUCAGGUCAGUGGUUUAACCCACUGUGCCACCAGGGGCUCCAGAAAAUUUAAAUAUUUCUUCAUAAAUUCAAUAGAAAGAAUUUGAGAUUAUUUUUUUUACAAAAAUUUAAUGAGUGAAGAUAUGAAACUUUCAGCUGUUCAGGCAUAGAGUUUUGAUUGUUUUUAGGUAUUAGAAAUCUGGCUUUGAUUCUCUGAAUAUUCAACUACAAAUAUGCUGACUGGCUUCUCUUUGACAGCUACAUGGGAGGUGGGCGGUCAAGUACAACAUGAUCCUUUCCACAGCAGACAGGAUUGUUCCCAUUGGCCUAUACAAAGAUAAGAUAAUUUCAUUUGGCUGCUUUCUAUAAGAACUCACUCUGAGCUGGAACUGACAGCAAUUCUAGAUCUCCCAAAACUGCAUUUGAUACUGAAAACAGACACAUCACUGCUGUAAGAUGAUGAUGAUGAUGAUGAUGAUGAUGAUGAUGAUGAUGAUGAUGAAAAGGUAAAGGUUUCCCCUGACGUUAAGUCCAGUCUUGUCUGACUCAGGGGGUUGGUGCUCAUCUCCAUUUCUAAGCCGAAGAACUGGCGUUGUCUGUAGACACCUCCAAGGUCAUGUGGCCGGCAUGACUGCAUGGAGCGCCGUUACCUUCCCGCCAGAGCGGUACCUAUUGAUCUACUCACAUUGGCAUGUUUUCAAACUGCUAGGUUGGCAGGAGCUGGAGCUAACAGCUCACGCCGCUCCUGGGGUUUGAACCUGGGACCUUUCGGUCUCCAGCUCAGUGCUUUAAUGCACUUCGCCACCAGGGCUCCCUAUUAUUAUUAUUAUUAUUAUUAUUAUUAUUAUUAUUAUUAUUAUUAUUAUUAUAAACACAACAAGAUGAGUCCACAGCAGACACUCUGCUGGCUGUUGUAUUGGAUCACACGUCGGACACUUCCCAAGUGUCUAGGGCUGUGUGGUGUAUCGGCAAAUAGUGCGUGCAGAUCCCAGUAAGGUGGCCUUCUGCAGCUGGCAGGUGGUAAUUUUGUCAGCGCCGAUUGUGUUUAAGUGCAGGUCAAAGUCUGCACCCAGUGUGCCGAUCACCACUGGGACCACCUUGACUGGCUUGUGCCAGAAUCUUUGUAAUUCGAUCUUUAAAUCCUCAUAUCGUGUCAGCUUUUCCAGUUGUUUCUCCUCAAUCCUGCUGUCCCUGGGAUUGCUACAUCGACAAUCCAUACUUUGUAUUUUAACAUGAUUGUUAGGUCACGAGUAUUGUGCUCCAAAACUCCAUCUGUCUGAAUUCGGAAGUCCCACAGUAGCUUGACAUGUUCAUUCUCUGUAACUUUUUCUGGCUUGUGAUCCCACCAGUUCUUUGUUGCAGGCAGAUGGUAUUUGUGGCACAAGUUCUAAUUAAUCAUCUGAGUAAUGAUAUAUUAUUGUUGUUGUUGUUGUUAUUAUUAUUAUUAUUAUUAAUUCAUUUCUAUCCUGCUUUUUCCCAUGGAUGGGACUCAAAGCGGCGUACAAAGUAAAAAACACCAAUACAUAUAAAUUGACACGUCGUCUUCAAUUACGAGUGGAGUGCCGCAGGGUUCUGUCCUGGGCCCAAUUCUCUUUAACAUCUUUAUUAACGACUUAGACGAAGGGUUAGAAGGCACGAUCAUCAAGUUUGCAGAUGACACCAAACUGGGAGGGAUAGCUAACACUCCAGAAGAAAGGAGCUGAAUUCAAAACGGUCUUGACAGACUAGAGAGAUGGGCCGAAACUAACAAAAUGAAGUUCAACAGGGAUAAAUGCAAGAUACUUCAUUUCGGCAGAAAAAAUGGAAUGCAAAGAUACAGAAUGGGGGACGCCUGGCUGGACAAGCAGUACAUGUGAAAAAGAUCUUGGAGUCCUCGUGGACAACACAUUAAACAUGAGUCAGCAAUGUCAUGCGGCUGCUAAGAAAGCCAAUGGGAUUUUGGCCUGCAUCAAUAGGGGUAUAGCGUCUAGAUCCAGGGAAGUCAUGCUCCCUCUCUAUUCUGCCUUGGUCAGACCACACCUGGAAUACUGUGUCCAAUUCUGGGCACCGCAGUUGAAGGGAGAUGUUGACAAGCUGGAAAGCGUCCAGAGGAGGGCAACUAAAAUGAUCAAAGGUCUGGAGAACAAGCCCUAUGAGGAGAGGCUUAAAGAACUGGGCAUGUUUAGCCUGCAGAAGAGAAGGCUAAGAGGAGACAUGAUAGCCAUGUACAAAUAUGUGAGGGGAAGUCAUAGGGAGGAGGGAGCAAGCUUGUUUUCUGCUGCCCUGCAGACUAGGACACGGAACAAUGGCUUCAAACGAUAGGAAAGGAGAUUCCACCUGAAUACCAGGAAGAACUUCCUCACUGUGAGAGCUGUUUGGCAGUGGAACUCUCUGCCCCAGACUGUGGUGGAGGCUCCUCCUUUGGAAGCUUUUAAACAGAGGCUGGAUGGCCAUCUGUCAGGGGUGCUUUGAAUGCGAUUUCCUGCUUCUUGGCAGGGGGUUGGACUGGAUGGCCCAUGAGGUCUCUUCCAACUCUACUAUUCUAUGAUUCUAUGAUUCUAUGACACAUAACCAACUAAAACAUCAUAUGCUGAUUUUAAAAUAACCCAAUUCAGGGCCACUACCAAAAAGGCCUCUCUCUCAUUCCCACCAAUUGUUUCUGUGAUGAUGGUGGGACCAAGAGAAGGGCCUCUCCUGAUGAACUCAGGGCUCGAGUGGGUUGAUAGGAGGAGAUACGGUCCCUCAAGUAGGCUGGGCCCAAACUGUUUAAGGCUUUGUAGGCUAAAGCCAGAACCUUGAAUUGUGCUUGGAAAUAAACUGGAAGCCAAUGUAGAUGCUUCAAGAACAGAGUAGUUCUUUCUCUCUAUCCACUCCUGUAAGCAGUCUAGCAGCUGACCUUUGAACCAACUGAAGUUUCCUAGCACUCUUCUGGGGCAGCCCCAUCUAAUCUGGAUGUGACUAAGGCAAGUACUACCAUGGCCAGAUCGGGCUUUUCAAGGCAUGGGCCCAACUGGCAGACAAGCUUAACUGUGUGAAGGUCCUCCCGGCCACCGGUGACACUUGGGCCUCCAGGGUCAAUGCUGAGUCCAGGAGGACCCCCAGACUGCAAACCUGUGCCUCCAGAGGGAAUGUGACUUCAUCCAGCACAGGCUACAGCCCAAUAUCCUGAUCAACCCUACAGCUGAUCAGAAGUACCUCCGUCUUGUCUGGAUUUAAUUUCAAUUUGUUCAUCCUCAUCCAGUCUAUCAUAGCUAACAGGCACUGGAAAACUCACAGCAAUACAUAUAAGCUGUAUUGAUAGUAAAUGAUGUAACAAGUGAAAACAAUGCAGCAGAGAAAAAAAGUUCAACCCUUUAGCCAAUGAGUUCCAACAGCAAGUGGCAAAAUUGGGUCCCAAAACUAUGAAUUCUACUCAGACCAAGGACAAUGCUCCACAUCCUUGUGUCUUAAUAAUACGUCACUUACAAAUAGAUCCCAGAAGAAGAAGAAAAACAAAUUGCACAGGUAUGACCCAUCUUCCAUCCAAAGAGCUAUGAAAAGUUGCUAGCAGAAAAGCCUGUCUCCUCCCAGCUAUAGCUUUGAAUUGCCAGACAAAAGCAUAAACUACAAAACAACCCAUUUCAUGUCCCAAAAAGCUGUUAAUAAUAAUAAUAAUAAUACAGUAGAGUCUCACUUAUCCAACAUAAACAGGCUGACAGAACAUUGGAUAAGCAAAUAUGUUGGAUAAUAAGGAGGGAUUAAGGAAAAGCCUAUUAAACAUCAAAUUAGGUUAUGAUUUUACAAAUUAAGAACCAAAACAUAUGUUUAACAACCAAUUUGACAGAAAAAAGUAGUUCAAUAGCAGUAAUGCUUUGUAGUAAUUACUGUAUUUAUGAAUUUAGUACCAAAACAUCACAAUGUAUUGAAAAGAUUGACUACAAAAACAUUGCCUACUAAAAGGCAGACUGUGUUGGAUAAUCCAGAACGUUGGAUAAGCGAAUGUUGGAUAAGUGAGACUCUACUGUAAUAAUAAUAAUAAGUUAUUUGUAUCCCACACUAUCUCCCCAAGGGGACUCAGGGCAGAUUCCAACAUACAAUGGCAAACAUUCAAUGUCUCCGUAAACAAACAAAUACUGACAUAAAAUCCCAGAGAAACCCAUCUCUAAAUAAUAAUAUAAUAUUAAACCUUUAUUAGGACUCAGGGCGGUUUCCAACCAGUGCAAAACAACAUACAAUAUACAAUAACUUAAUACAGUAAAAGCGCAUCAUUAAAACAAUACAAAACAAUUCAGUUAAAAUUAGCAAUAAAUAAAGUUAACAUCUCUGCCAAGGUUUCCAGAAUUCAUCUGCCUUGUGGCGGGACAGAUGCUUUAGAUUUAGCAAUAUUUAUGAAUUAUUUUAUAUUUUAAACAAAAGGAAUCUGAACGAAAUUUGCCCUGGGAUAGUGUGGCGAAGCAGAAGAUUAAAUCCAGCAGACAUGACUCUUUUUUGACCUUGGGUGUCCUUAAAAGAAGUCAAAUAGGGUGAAGGAAUACCUUAAGCAGACAAAACUCCAUAGAAUGCUGGGGCUCUUGAAAUGGGGAAGGAGAAAAGUGAACUCAGAUACAAACCACAAAAUAUCUUUUAUCCUUCUGAGAAACUCAAGAGACAAAACCCCACUGUUGGCAAUGUCAUUUCUCGACAGUUAGGGAAGUGAGGUUGAAAAAUAGUCCAGGUUUAUUCUGCAUGCCCCAUGGAUGAACAGGGAUUUGUAUCUUAUUCUCCCAGGACUACAUUCAUCAUACUGUGUUUUUCUUUGUGGAACAAAAAUGUAGAAAUUAUCUCUGAGUACCCAGAGGGUAUUCAUUACUGAGUUCAUUUGGGAAAUGUGGCACAUUUGGUAUCGCAUUUUUGGCCAUUAAGUUAGUAGGGCUGCAGAUGUAAUUAAUCCCCAAGAGAAAACUGUAAAUCCUGCUUUUAAGACUAUGGGGAAAAUGGAUUUAAAUGGAUUAAUACUAUUGCCUAUUGCAGAUUGCCUCUGUUCUUGCAAGACUAAACUCAGCCUGAAAUAAGUAAUUGCUGAUGAUUGGACACUAGCUUUGAGAUUAAUACAAAGAGGGGCUUUUUCUCCAAGAUGAUAACCAAAUUCAUUUCAUACAACAGUCAGCACGAUUGGUCCAUGGUGUUUCACUGCAGCAUAUACAUAAAGCAAAAUACCCCAUGAAGGCAUCUCCCAAUAAUAAUAAAAUAAUAAAAUAACUAAUAAUUUGCUGCUUUUAUGAUAUUCAACCACCGCUGCUCUCCUCUUGCUAAUGUUAGGACAGCUCCUGAAUUUGCUGAUAGAUGAUUUUGAACAAAUUACCAUUUGUUUGUUUAUUCCAAUAUGGGUCUCAAAGUUGACAUAUGGUAAUACUGAUUUGAGAGCAGGGUUGCAUUAACAGCUACUUCUCAUUGUAGAUUAUCAUAUAUUUUAAUACAGGCAAAAUUGGCCUUGGAACACUGGUGCUGAUAACAGGUAAAAUGUUGAUGUCAGGUGCUGGGCUUGUUUCAAAAAGGUUCCUGUAAAUGUAACCAGCAAAAAAAACGUAAACUAUUGUGUAAAAACAACUAAUUUUCUUGAGUGUUUAAAAACAUUGUGGUAAUGUCUUUUCUUAUGGUAAAUUUAAGAAUCUGUUUUUGUAUGUUGUUUCUUCAUGUUGCAGUUUCAUUUGACUCCUAAGUCAAAUCCUGUCCGUUUCCAUGGAGGUUUUCUGCACUCUGAAGUGUUUCCUCUGCAGCUUACAAAAAUCAACAUUUCUCAUGCAAUUGCCAUCUGAACACAAUCUGUGCAUUGAUGCAUCACUGUGGCUGAUGUCUUUUUAAAAAUGCUGCUCAAGCCUUCCAUUUCCAAAUAAACUUCUUAUAAAAUGAGACUAGCUGCUCUGGAUGGUGAUUGCUUUGUGUAGCUGAUACCAACAUGAAGCAAUAUUCCCCAGAUACAAAGAACCUGUUGCCUCCCUGAAAUGACGUUAGUAUGGCAGUCCAUCAGCCGCACUGCAUAGAGUUAUUUUAAAACAAGCCUGUAUCAGUAAACCUUUUGGUAGCAUGAUUCGUUGUCUCCAUGCAUGGUAAACAUGGUUAGAGGUAGCAAUAGAAUUGCUGCAUAUGGUGAAUAUAUUUUCUAUCUGUGGCAAAGGUAAAGGUUUUCCCUUGACAUUAAGUCUAGUCAUGUCCGAUUCUGGGGGUUGGUGCUCAUCUCCAUUUCUAAGCCGAAGAGCCGGAGUUGUCUGUGGACACCUCCAUGCAGUUAUACCGGCUCAUGUAGCCGGUAUAACUGCAUGGAGCACCGUUACCUUUCCAUUGGAGCGAUACCUAUUAAUCUACUCAUAUUUGCAUGUUUCAAACAGCAAGGUUGGCAGAAGCUGAGGCUAACAGGGAGAGCUCAACCUGCUCUCCGGAUUCAAACCACCAACCUUUCAGUCGGCAAGUUCAGCAGCUCAGCGGUUUAACCCAAUGCACCACCGGGUAAAUAAUUCUUGUUUUGUUUGUGCCCUCCUAUUGAAGGGACCAUAAGCCAGAAAAUAGUAGACUUUUGCAUAUAUAGCUUUGCCUCUGCUAAUAUCAUAUUAGCUUCAUAUAGACAAUGUAAGCUCUUUGUAUGAGCCAAAGUAACAAAGAAACUGUGUCCCUCCUUUUCUCUUGCCUGGUACCCUUCUCCAGAAAGUACCAAGGCCAAAUGCUAGCUUGAGAUCAACAAGUGAGAUCAUAGACACCACUUGUGCCAAAGAGGUGUGGAGGUGAAGAAGACCCACAGUAAUUGGUCAAGUUUAGAUAAGCCGAGAUAUAUAUUCUUUGUUUGCAACGCCACACUUCGCGGCAGCCAUUUGCAAGUACAAACCUUUUGGGGUGUACGGCUGUCCCGCCUUCUCAUAGCUAUGUGAAAAUAAACUUUGCUUUUGUACUCUUACGAGACUAGAUUUUCUGUCUCAUUGCCUCCUGUGCCAGAACUCCUUUUUGAGAUAAAUUGUCCUACACUAUAAGAAUAGGCACCAAGGGGACUUGGGAGUUCUUUCCUUCCUUCUUGUUUGAUCAACAUAUCCACGCUAUGUGAAAAACUGGGAAGGAGCAUGAGCAACCAGAACCUUCAUACAACUCGAACUGCUGAAUAUCCAAGAGGACAGUGGGGCUUACUGGUUAGAGGGCUCGGAAUUAAGAGAUUCAGGGUCAAGUCUCCACUAAGCUAUGAAAUUCCAGCAAAUUUUAUUUAUUUUGUGUCAAAAGCAUUGCAUAAUAAAUAAGUUUAAAAGUGAUAAAAUAAAGGAAUCACAAACAGCUAAAUAGUUUUGGACCAAAAGCGGGCAACAGCAAUCGCAUUGUCUGUAGCUUUAAACAACAACUCCUCCAUGCAUGAGGCAGGGCAUUGUGGGCAAGCAUACAUAUGAGGAGUUGUUUGUUCAGCUCCACAUUCACACAAGGUGGAUGAUUCUUCCAGGUAGUGCUGUAGCGGAACCUUUGUGCUACGGUCCUUGUUGAGCGCAGUGGAGGGAUUGGAGACGGACAACUGGAAUAAUUCCAAGAAAGCAGUUUUAUUUGGCUAAUGGCCACUAGGGUUCCCCCUCGCACAAAAUAAGUGCUUUUCCCAGGGAGAACCCCCAGUGGCGGGCUGAGUAAAUAUUUAUACACACUACAGGGUUCGGGUUAUGCCCGCCCACAAGCAAAUUCAUUGGCUUAGAGUUGUGACGCUGCUUGACUUGGACCCAAUCAGUGCUGACCAGCGGGCCGGCCGCACUCUUUCUGUGCCGUGCUCACAAUCAUUCAGAGCGCCUGCGUACGCAUGCGCUGUUUGUUUAUCUUUAGCUUUCAUUUCUUCAGAAACACAUGAUUUCCCAGAAGUCACAUGUUUCUGUGAGUUUAUGCACCCGGGUCGCUAGCUGUCGCCAUCUCUGCCCAUAUAUGGUAUUUCCUGGGGUUCUUUAACCUCCCGCCUCAGUGCCAUCUUACAAGGUUGUCUUUUGAUCUGCAAAUGACUCUGGACUAGUUACACUAUGUAACACAAUUUUUGUUCCUGGAUUAUAAAUGUCAUUUUCUAACUAGUCCUAUCGUAAAAACAUGGGGAAAGUUUAUUAAACUGCAAAAACUUUGGUUUUUGUGGGACAUCCUGCAGCACAUUUUGCUAUAGGUUUUCAAUGACUAUCUUCUCAAGUCUCAACCAAUUUAACAUAAUUUGUGGCAGCCACAAAAACUAAGUUUCUGAAGUGUAACAAUUACUUUCAAAGUAAGUACCGCACAAUAAAACAGAAAACAACACUUUCAAACCAGGAACAGAAAAAAAUUCACAUUUUGUUACAUAAUGUAUUUUUUUUCAGACUGGCCUAUGCCAUAGUUAUCUGGUAAGGAAAAAAAUUGAAGAGAGUCAAGUAUUCCCAUUUGAUCUCUUUAGAAGAAAAGCAGAUUGGAUGGUAAAAGUAAAACACACACACUUAAAAAAAAAACAAGCCAAUGUAACCUACAUUACAGGUUUCUGAAAGAAUCCUCUACAUCAGUGGUUCUUAAUCUGUGGGUCCACAGUUAUUUUGGCCUUCAACUCCCAGAAAGCCCAGCCAGUUUACCAGCUGUUAGGAUUUCUAGGAAUUGAAGGCCAAAACAUCUGAGGACCCACAGAUUGAGAACACCUGCUCUACAUAAAGUGCCCAAUCCUGUUUAAAACUAUGAUAAGAAAUAAAGAGGGUGGGAAUGGACUUUGCAUCUGCUAACCACUAUGUGGCCAACAAGAUGUCUAUAGGAAGAGCAUAAACAGACAUAUGGCAUAUUUCUGUGUGCCAUACUGCUGAUACUGAAGGCGCUAGGCUGAAACCAACCUGAAGAAUUUGGUUUUGUGACUCCCACUGUUUCUCUCUUUCCACUUUGAAGAAAGAUAAAGGAAACCUCCACACACCUUGAUUGUUUACUGCUUCCUGUUUGGAGAUGAAUCUUUUUUCUCACAAGCUUCUAGUUAAAAUGUGACCGUUAAAUCAGCAGCUAUGUUAUCCAACUUUCAUCUUCAUCGCCCUGGAAAUAAACCUGUAAAUUCUGAAUGUGAAAUUAUUAGAUGUUAAAGAAUGGUUUUCAAAAUAUUUAAUGUCUCUUGCUUCUCUCUCUCAAUUACUCUCUCUCUCUUGGACAUGUACACACAGUUAAUAGGAAGAACGUAUUCCUAUGCCAACCACUGUCUCCUGAAUAUUUAAUAUAAAACAGAGGGAAAAAUAAAAAUAAUGAAGAUCGUGCAUUCUCUUGGGUGUGAUGUUAAAUCUUCAUAAAUGUAAAGACUGUAGGCUUGCUUCUAAGUAAAUUAAAGGUUCCUAUGUGCUCUCCUGGUGUGCUUCUCCAGCAUUUUCUGGAAGGAAGUCAGUGCAUGGUGUGUGGUUAGAUGUGUGAUUGGAAAUAAAGGCUGAACGGAGUAGCCAUAGCAAUGUAAUUCUGUUCUAUUUUUCUUCUCAAAAGGAGUGAUAUAUAAUUCUAGCAAUUUUCUUGCUGGAAGAAAACCUUUGGAAAUUGCACAGAUUUCAAAGGCUAUUUGAUUGUUCUUUGUGUAUUGUGUGCAAAGUGUUUUGUGCAGAAAAUGGCAUUUUGGAAACUCAGUUUUCUACGUGGGAAAUUAUAUUUUUUGGAAAGGAACAUUAUUUUCUGCACAAAAAUACUGACUUUUGCAAAAAAAAAAAAAAAAAAACCCCUAAAAUCCAUGCCAGGGGAUGGAGGAUGACUGAUACUUCUCACUAGCAUUUUGCAGUAAGAAGAAGUUUCACAAUAAAGCCACCAAGGAGCCUUCGGUGGCCUAGGGGAUAAAAGCCUUGUGACUUGAAGGUUGAGUUGCUGACCUGAAAGCUGCCAGGUUCGAAUCCCACCCGGAGAGAGCACGGAUGAGCUCCCUCUAUCAGCUCCAGCUCCAUGCGGGGACAUGAGAGAAGCCUCCCACAAGAAUGGUAAAAACAUCAAAAACAUCCGGGCGUCCCCUGGGCAAUGUCCUUGCAGAAGGCCAAUUUUCUCACUCCAGAAACAACUCCGGUUGCUCCUGACACGAAUAAAAUAAAAUAAAAUAAAAUAAUCUGCCAAAAAAAAUCUGGUUGUGAAACACAAACUGGAUUCAAUGGGAAGGAUCAGAAUUCAUGAUAUUUGAAUUUACUUAUAAGUAAAUGCAGAAUGUGCCUGUUUCCAAUAAGCUUUUAUUGGCAUAUAUGUAUAUCAAAUGUGUAAAAUGCAGAGUAUAUAAUGCAAUAGAAAAACAAUAGAAAAUCAUCACAUUUGUCAAACAUUCAAUUUAGUUUAGCAAUUAGUACUCAUAUUGGCACAGUGUGUUAAAGCGCUGAGCUGCUGAACUUGUGGACCAAAAGGUCCCAGGUUCAAAUCCCGGAAACAGAAUGAACACCCGCAGUUAGCCCCAGCUCUUGCCAACCUAGCAGUUCGAAAACAUGCCAAUGUGAGUAGAUCAAUAGGUACCGCUCCAGUGGGAAGGUAAUGGCGCUCCAUACAGUCAUGCCGGCCACAUGACCUGGAGAUGUGGACAACGCCGGCUCUUCAUCUUAGAAAUGGAGAUGAGUACCAACCCCCAGAGUCAGACAUGACUGGACUUAACAUCAGGGGAAACCUUUACCUUUACCUUUACUCAUAUUAAAAUGGAGAAUGACCAAGGAAGAACGAAAGGACCAACCUGUCCAUGUGUAUGUGGGCACAGCAAACUCCAUUGAUAGGGUUGGUUUCACUGAGAUCCAUCAAGAGAUAAACCUUAUUCAACUACUUCCCAUUCCACAGCUUGAAAUGCUCUCAGAACCAUUUACAUAUCAGUUAACAAUACAAGACAAUCUCUGCCUUCCAGCAUGUCCUCUUGCACGAUAGGACACAAAAGAGAAAGGGGAUUGAGAGAUAAAUAGAGAACAAGAAAGCUCUCAUUAGUUCUUAAUGCAAAAGGCAUGUAUUAUUAUGUGCCUUCAAGUUGUUUCCAAUUUAUGAUGAUUCUGAGGACCUUAUUUGUGACAGCGCGAGUGGUGCCAUCUAUAUGUCCAACUGUAAGUUGCAAGAUUUGAAUUGUAUCAUGCCUGAUUUUGCCUUUACCUUGUAAAUGUAGUUGGAUUGAUUGGUUAUUUAUAGCUGUCAAUCAAUGUUGUUUGCACCAGUUAUAUUGCUUCCUCAGCUCAAUUGUUUGGUUCCACCUCUUCCUGGAGUAGGACAGUGUUUCCUCCUUUCAUUCCACCAUCAAGCUCUCUACCAGAUGGACAUGAGAGACAGACUUGGCUCUAAAAGCCCUUGAUUAAGUUACCUCUCAGCACCAAUUCUGAGGUUCUUACCCUUGAGACUUAUGCUUCAUGUUCAAGGCCAACUUGAACGACAUUAAGGAGUCUCAAGCACCUUCAAAUCAGUCCUUUGGCAACAGAGAAAGAUUGUGUCUUCAAACAUAGGCCAUUUGGACUGAGGCUGAGGUUUGCUUCGGCAUUCAUAGCCAUUGAGAGAGAGGGACCUGGAAAAGCUUCUCAGCUACAGAGCUCCUUGGACUUAAGACAACCAAAGACUGUAAUGUAUAUUUUCCUUUACCCCUUUGAAACUUCCAUCUUAUUGCCUUAAAGAGAUAACCUUUUGUGAACAAUAAAACCAGUUUUUGAGUUA
Molecule: long non-coding RNA, 11777 nt
Organism: Anolis carolinensis (green anole)
Lineage: Eukaryota; Metazoa; Chordata; Lepidosauria; Squamata; Anolidae
Exons: 3
Source: RefSeq, a predicted model, not a curated record